This 501-nucleotide unclassified non-coding RNA is filed under the name uncultured Ambispora. RNAcentral's name for it is "SSU rRNA". It matches the Rfam family "Eukaryotic small subunit ribosomal RNA", at positions 569 to 1072 of the family's 1831-position model. The record is from RNAcentral. Lineage: Eukaryota; Fungi; Glomeromycota; Glomeromycetes; Archaeosporales; Ambisporaceae.
CGCAGCCGCGGUAAUUCCAGCUCCAAUAGCGUAUAUUAAAGUUGUUGCAGUUAAAAAGCUCGUAGUUGAACUUCGGGGUUUACUCAUUGGUCAGGCUUAAUUGUCUGUACUGGUGAGAUGAAUCUCUACCUUCUGAGGAACUUUCAUGCCAUUUAUUUGGUGUGGUUGGAAAUCAGGACUGUUACUUUGAAAAAUUAGAGUGUUUAAAGCAGGCUAACGUCUGAAUACAUUAGCAUGGAAUAAUGAAAUAGGACGGAUUGAUUCUAUUUCGUUGGUUUCUAGGGUCACCGUAAUGAUUAAUAGGGAUAGUUGGGGGCAUUAGUAUUCAAUUGUCAGAGGUGAAAUUCUUGGAUUUAUUGAAGACUAACUACUGCGAAAGCAUUUGCCAAGGAUGUUUUCAUUAAUCAAGAACGAAAGUUAGGGGAUCGAAGACGAUCAGAUACCGUCGUAGUCUUAACCAUAAACUAAUGCCGACUAGGGAUCGGACGCAGUUAAUUUUAU